RNAcentral lists this unclassified non-coding RNA (231 nucleotides) under plant metagenome. RNAcentral describes it as "partial contains small subunit ribosomal RNA, internal transcribed spacer 1, and 5.8S ribosomal RNA". The record is from RNAcentral.
UCUCCGUUGGUGAACCAGCGGAGGGAUCAUUACUGAGUUACCGCUCUACAACCCUUUGUGAACAUACCUAACUGUUGCUUCGGCGGGCAGAGGUCCCUCGCGGAUCUCUCCCGGCAACGCCCUCACGGGCGGAGCGCCCGCCGGAGGAUACCAAACUCUAUUUUAACGGCGUUUCUUCUGAGUGGCACAAGCAAAUAAUUAAAACUUUUAACAACGGAUCUCUUGGUUCUG